GGAUUAAUAUGACAGCCAAAAAUGGGAACUUAUUUAAAGAUAAUUACGAAAAAUGUUGGACGGAAGUGAAAAAAGAUUUAGAAAUUUGGUCAAAUUUGAAACUCUCGCUGCUGGGCCGUAUUGCUGUGAUAAAGAUGAAUGUAUUGCCUAGAAUGUUGUUUUUGUUUCAGACAUUACAAAUUGUAGAUAAGAUGGACUGUUUCAAGAAGUGGCAGAGAGAUAUUUCUAGAUUUGUCUGGCAGGGCAAGAAGCCCAGAAUAAAAUUUAAGAUAUUAACUGAUGCCAAGGAAAGAGGUGGAUUUGCCCUGCCAGACCUUAAACUUUAUUAUGAAUCAGCAGCUUUUUGCUGGCUGAAAGAAUGGCUACUUCUUGAAAACACAGACAUUUUGGAUUUAGAAGGUUUUAACAAUGUAUUUGGAUGGCAUGCAUACUUAUGGUAUGAUAAGGUCAAAGCACACAAAGCAUUCAAAAACCAUAUUGUUAGGAAAGCAUUGUUUAAUGUUUGGAUAAGAUACAAAGAUUUAUUGGAAAAUAAAACCCCAAGGUGGCUGUCACCAAUGGAAGCAAAAGCUCUGAAAAGGCUCAAUAUGGAGGCCAAAUGGCCGACAUAUUGGGAAAUUUUGGAGCAAGAAGGAGAUAAAUUGAGAUUGCAGAGUUUUGAAAAAUUAAAAUAAAGUGAGAGAUUGGCUUCAUUACUAUCAGAUAAUGGAGGCAUAUAAUUUGGAUAAGAAAAUAGGCUUCCAAGUGGAAAAGUCAAAAUUAGAAACAGAAUUGUUAGAACCCAAAACUAAAAAUUUGUCAAGAAUGUAUAACUUGCUGUUGAAAUGGAAUACUCAGGAUGAAACGGUGAAAUCUGCUAUGAUUAAAUGGGCACAAGAUGUUGGACAUAAUAUUAUGUUUGCUGACUGGGAACAGUUAUGGACCACAGGUAUGAGGUUUACGGCAUGUAAUGCCUUAAGAGAGAAUAUUAUGAAAAUGAUAUACAGGUGGUACAUGACCCCAGUCAAGCUUGCAAAAAUUUAUCAUUUGCCCGAUAAUAAAUGUUGGAAAUGUAAAGAAACUGAAGGUACAUUCUUUCACCUUUGGUGGACGUGCCCAAAGAUCAAGGCUUUCUGGGAAAUGAUAUAUAAUGAACUGAAAAAGGUAUUUAAAUAUACCUUUCUGAAGAAACCAGAGGCCUUUCUUUUGGGCAUUGUCGGCCAACUGGUGCCAAAGAAGGACAGAACCUUUUUCAUGUAUGCUACAACAGCAGCAAGAAUACUUAUCGCAAAGUAUUGGAAGACACAAGAUCUACCCACUUUGGAAGAAUGGCAGAUGAAGGUGAUUGACUACAUGGAAUUGGCGGAAAUGACUGGCAGAAUCCGAGACCAGGGAGAAGAGUCGGUGAAAGAAGACUGGAAGAAAUUUAAAGACUAUUUACAGAAAUAUUGCAAAAUUAAGGAAUUUUAGAAGGAUGUCGGAUAGAAACUAAGAGGUUUUUAGCUGUAAUGCUUUUAAGAGAUAUGAAAAAAAAAAGGUUAACAAUUGGGUAAAAGAUUAAUGGUAAGGAUUUGCUGAACCAACAAACUGAACUGGAAUACAAAGAAGGGAGGUAUGAGGAGGUCCGGGAAAUAAGAGCAAGGAAGAUAGGUUAUGGAAAAUUAUUGUGCUUUUAACUGUUUUAUUUUGUAUGUUUUUCCUUAUUUUCUACUUUUUUGUUAUAUCUUAAAACUUUAUACUUUUUCUUUAUUUUGUAUUUUCACGUAUUUUUUGAAACUUUAAUAAAUAUC
This is a non-coding RNA of Podarcis lilfordi (Lilford's wall lizard), 1769 nucleotides long. The record is from the annotation of a GenBank genome assembly. NCBI's taxonomy places the organism in Eukaryota, Metazoa, Chordata, Lepidosauria, Squamata, Lacertidae.